AACACGGAGAGUUUGAUCCUGGCUCAGGAUGAACGCUGGCGGUCUGCUUAACACAUGCAAGUCGAACGGGCUCUUCGGAGCUAGUGGCGGACGGGUGAGUAACACGUGAGAAUCUGGCUCCCGGUCGGGGACAACAGAGGGAAACUUCUGCUAAUCCCGGAUGAGCCGAAAGGUAAAAGAUUUAUCGCCGGGAGAUGAGCUCGCGUCUGAUUAGCUAGUUGGUGAGGUAAAGGCUCACCAAGGCGACGAUCAGUAGCUGGUCUGAGAGGAUGAUCAGCCACACUGGGACUGAGACACGGCCCAGACUCCUACGGGAGGCAGCAGUGGGGAAUUUUCCGCAAUGGGCGCAAGCCUGACGGAGCAAGACCGCGUGGGGGAGGAAGGCUCUUGGGUUGUAAACCCCUUUUCUCAAGGAAGAACACAAUGACGGUACUUGAGGAAUAAGCCUCGGCUAACUCCGUGCCAGCAGCCGCGGUAAUACGGAGGAGGCAAGCGUUA
RNAcentral lists this ribosomal RNA (498 nucleotides) under Arthrospira sp. PLM2.Bin9. RNAcentral describes it as "bacterial SSU rRNA". It matches the Rfam family "Bacterial small subunit ribosomal RNA", at positions 1 to 543 of the family's 1533-position model. The record is from RNAcentral. Lineage: Bacteria; Bacillati; Cyanobacteriota; Cyanophyceae; Oscillatoriales; Microcoleaceae.